GGCGUACGUGUACGCACAGGGCGCCUGCGCGCGGGUUCCGGCAGCCCGCGAGACGCUGUCUGCGGGACUUGGUAGACGGCUGAGGUGCGGGAGCUGCGGGAGGAUGGAGCCACUGAAGAUGGAAAAGUUCACGACUGCCGACCGGGGAAACGGGCUGCGCGCAGUGGCCCCGCUACGCCCCGGGGAGCUGCUCUUUCGCUCGGAUCCUUUGGCGUACACGGUGUGCAAGGGGAGUCGUGGCGUCGUCUGCGACCGCUGCCUACUCGGGUACGUAUGGAGC
RNAcentral lists this long non-coding RNA (280 nucleotides) under Marmota monax (woodchuck). The record is from RNAcentral. Lineage: Eukaryota; Metazoa; Chordata; Mammalia; Rodentia; Sciuridae.